UACGUAAGGGGCAAGCGUUGUCCGGAAUCAUUGGGCGUAAAGCGCGCGUAGGCGGCCCGGUAAGUCCGCUGUGAAAGUCCAGGGCUCAACCCUGGAAAGCCGGUGGAUACUGCCGGGCUAGAGUCCGGAAGAGGCGAGUGGAAUUCCUGGUGUAGCGGUGGAAUGCGCAGAUAUCAGGAGGAACACCAAUAGCGAAGGCAGCUCGCUGGGACGGUACUGACGCUGAGGUGCGAAAGCGUGGGGAGCAAACAGG
This 253-nucleotide ribosomal RNA is filed under the name uncultured bacterium. Its description in RNAcentral is "partial 16S ribosomal RNA". It matches the Rfam family "Bacterial small subunit ribosomal RNA", at positions 524 to 776 of the family's 1533-position model. The record is from RNAcentral.